UACUUAAAAGGAAGUGAAAACCUGAAGCCAGUGAAAUUAACUUCCUGCCAAUGUGGGGGACAAUGGCAGCAUGGAAAUGGAUACAAAGAAAGAACUUGUCACUUGGAGAAAUCCUGAUUGCAAGGCUAAGGCAGGAAAAGUAUAAGUUCAGGGGUCAGAAGCAG
This 164-nucleotide long non-coding RNA is filed under the name Felis catus (domestic cat). RNAcentral describes it as "lncRNA (ENSFCAG00000050124.1)". The record is from RNAcentral. Lineage: Eukaryota; Metazoa; Chordata; Mammalia; Carnivora; Felidae.